This 433-nucleotide ribosomal RNA is filed under the name uncultured bacterium. Its description in RNAcentral is "partial 16S ribosomal RNA". It matches the Rfam family "Bacterial small subunit ribosomal RNA", at positions 29 to 507 of the family's 1533-position model. The record is from RNAcentral.
AACGAACGCUGGCGGCAUGCCUAACACAUGCAAGUCGAACGAGACCUUCGGGUCUAGUGGCGCACGGGUGCGUAACGCGUGGGAACCUGCCCUUAGGUUCGGAAUACCUCCCCGAAAGGGGUGCUAAUACCGGAUAAUGUCUUCGGACCAAAGAUUUAUCGCCUUUGGAUGGGCCCGCGUUGGAUUAGCUAGUUGGUAGGGUAAAAGCCUACCAAGGCGACGAUCCAUAGCUGGUCUGAGAGGAUGAUCAGCCACACUGGGACUGAGACACGGCCCAGACUCCUACGGGAGGGAGCAGUGGGGAAUAUUGGACAAGGGGCGAAAGCGUGAUCCAGCAAUGCCGCGUGAGUGAUGAAGGCCUUAGGGUUGUAAAGCUCUUUUACCCGGGAUGAUAAUGACAGUACCGGGAGAAUAAGCACCGGCUAACUCCGUG